GAGAAACGGCUACCACAUCCACGGAAGGCAGCAGGCGCGUAAAUUACCCAAUACCGGCUCGGUGAGGUAGUGACAAAAAAUAACAAUAUGGGCCCUAGUGGUUUCAUAAUUGCAAUGAGAAUAUUUUAAAUACUUUAUCAAGUAUCAAUUGGAGGGCAAGUCUGGUGCCAGCAGCCGCGGUAAUUCCAGCUCCAAAAGCGUAUAUUAAAGUUGUUGCAGUUAAAAAGCUCGUAGUUGAAAUUUAGGAUUCUAGAUUCUUUUCNAUCUUAUGAUUGAAAUAAAUUUAGUCCUUUUGUGUCGUGUAUAUUAAUUAGUUACUUUAUUGUAUCUGGUUAAUAACCGGCUAGUUUACUUUGAAAAAAUUAGAGUGCUUAAAGCAGGCUUAUGCUUGUAUAUUGUUGCAUGGAAUAAUAAAAUAGGACUUCGGUUUUAUUUUGUUGGUUUUCGAAACUGAAGUAAUGAUUAAAAGAGACUGCCGGGGGCAUGUGUAUGCUGGUGCUAGAGGUGAAAUUCUUAGAUCAUCAGCAGACAAACUACU
This 538-nucleotide ribosomal RNA is filed under the name Microplana terrestris. RNAcentral's name for it is "SSU rRNA". It matches the Rfam family "Eukaryotic small subunit ribosomal RNA", at positions 398 to 944 of the family's 1831-position model. The record is from RNAcentral. Lineage: Eukaryota; Metazoa; Platyhelminthes; Tricladida; Geoplanidae.